Long non-coding RNA from Amphiprion ocellaris (clown anemonefish), 1239 nucleotides. The record is from Ensembl. NCBI's taxonomy places the organism in Eukaryota, Metazoa, Chordata, Actinopteri, Pomacentridae.
AAUUUGUUAGCACAUAAGGGGAAGACAGUACAAUCGCUAUUAUUUCAGUGUAAUUUGGUUAACUGGGAGGAGAUCGAAGAAAGAUUUUGCUGCUUUAAACCCUUAUCCUUAACUGCUUCUCUGGGUUUUUACAUGUUUGUAGAAGAGUGUGUUUCCUUGGUUAUUACAAUGUUACAUAAUCUUAUGUUCCUACAGUGUAAAUGGCUCAGAACACUGUGGAUGUAGACUGGAUCUCUUCUGUUUUGGCACUUGGUUUUGAACAAUAGUAUGAGGUGCGUGUUCGAUAGCAUUGUGGCUUCCAUUUGAUAAAAAAUGGUACUCACACUGCAAAACACAUGUUGGGUAUGAAGAUUAGUUUGUCAUUCAUGUGAAGUAUUGGUUUUCAGGCGAGACUCAGCUUAGUAGAGGGUGAUUGAAAUUGAGAUUUUACAUCCUGUAAGAAGUUUACUCAUGGAAUAAUGUAUGUAAUGUAAAAAAUAAAUCACUCAAUGAAACUACUGAACAUCUUGUUAUGGGAUCACAUGAGUUGUGAUGCCUUUUCUGGACCAAGGCACCAAGUAAUCAUGAGUCAGAUCAUCUUUGAACUGGGCUUUGAAUUUGAUCUCAACUAUGUAGCUCUGUGUUUCUUGUUGACAUAAUUGGACUACAGACAACAUAUAAAUACCCGGCAAAGUACUCAAAAGCAUCUUUGUGGUAGUUGAACAUACAAUCUACGCUAUUGCAGCUGUUAAAAACAGACAAACUGUUACUGUUUUGUAAGUGCAGUGUUUCAAUAGUCUGAUGCUUCAGAAUUGGUUAUAGUGGUGCACCCUAUUCAUUCCCAUGUUCCCCUGCUCCAUAUUAUAGCACUUGAACCUGAAACAAAUGUUCCCCAGCUCUGUAUCUGCUCAAAAAUGACAUGGGCUAUUGUUGGAACUCUUGAAAGAGGUUUUCUGUUCUCCAGCACUACUGUAUGGCUCUCAGUGUAAUAGGCCUCCUCUUGAAGGUAAAGGUGAAGAAACGUGGAUUGGAUGGUGAGUUGACAUCUGGCUCCUUUUAAUUGAAGUGUCUUUUAGCAAUGAACCAAACUUCAAGUAGCCCCAGAUGAUCACUCUAGCCAUUUUUACUUUCACCAGCUUGGAUGUGUCAAUGAGUGAAAAUGUGGGAUUGUCAAAAGCGUAGUUACUAGUUACUGAUUUGUACUUCAGAGUCUCCUGUUAAACUCAAAGAUAAUAUGAGUUGACUAUAAUCAGGAUGGGU